RNAcentral lists this ribosomal RNA (369 nucleotides) under uncultured bacterium. Its description in RNAcentral is "bacterial SSU rRNA". It matches the Rfam family "Bacterial small subunit ribosomal RNA", at positions 917 to 1289 of the family's 1533-position model. The record is from RNAcentral.
GGGCCCGCACAAGCGGUGGAGUAUGUGGUUUAAUUCGAUGCAACGCGAAGAACCUUACCAGGGUUUGACAUCCUGCGAAUCUCUUGGAAACAGGAGAGUGCCUUCGGGAACGCAGUGACAGGUGGUGCAUGGCUGUCGUCAGCUCGUGUCGUGAGAUGUUGGGUUAAGUCCCGCAACGAGCGCAACCCACGUCUUUAGUUGCCAGCAUUUAGUUGGGCACUCUAGAGAGACUGCCGGUGAUAAACCGGAGAAGGUGUGGAUGACGUCAAGUCAUCAUGCCCCUUACAUCUGGGCUACACACGUACUACAAUGCUACGGACAAAGGGCAGCAAGUUCGCGAGGACAAGCAAAUCCUAGAAAGUUUCUCGU